RNAcentral lists this unclassified non-coding RNA (219 nucleotides) under plant metagenome. RNAcentral describes it as "partial contains small subunit ribosomal RNA, internal transcribed spacer 1, and 5.8S ribosomal RNA". The record is from RNAcentral.
UUUCCGUAGGCGAACCUGCGGAAGGAUCAUUACAGAGUUCAUGCCCUCACGGGUAGAUCUCCCACCCUUGAAUAUUUAUACCUUAGUUGCUUUGGCAGGCCGUGGAAACACCAUGGGCUCCGGCUUAUGCGUGCCUGCCAGAGGAAACAAACUCUGUUUUAGUGAUGUCUGAGUACUAUAUAAUAGUUAAAACUUUCAACAACGGAUCUCUUGGUUCUG